GCUUAACACAUGCAAGUCGAACGGAAAGGCCCUGCUUGCAGGGUACUCGAGUGGCGAACGGGUGAGUAACACGUGGGUGAUCUGCCCUGCACUUCGGGAUAAGCUUGGGAAACUGGGUCUAAUACCGGAUAGGAGCCAUCUUUAGUGUGGUGGUUGAAAAGUUUUUUCGGUGUAGGAUGAGCUCGCGGCCUAUCAGCUUGUUGGUGGGGUAAUGGCCUACCAAGGCGGCGACGGGUAGCCGGCCUGAGAGGGUGUACGGCCACAUUGGGACUGAGAUACGGCCCAGACUCCUACGGGAGGCAGCAGUGGGGAAUAUUGCACAAUGGGCGCAAGCCUGAUGCAGCGACGCCGCGUGGGGGAUGAAGGCCUUCGGGUUGUAAACUCCUUUCGCUAGGGACGAAGCUUUGUGUGACGGUACCUAGAUAAGAAGCACCGGCUAACUACGUGCCAGCAGCCGCGGUAAUACGUAGGGUGCGAGCGUUGUUCGGAAUUACUGGGCGUAAAGAGCUCGUAGGUGGUUUGUCGCGUCGUCUGUGAAAUUCUGGGGCUUAACUCCGGGCGUGCAGGCGAUACGGGCAUAACUUGAGUGCUGUAGGGGUAACUGGAAUUCCUGGUGUAGCGGUGAAAUGCGCAGAUAUCAGGAGGAACACCGAUGGCGAAGGCAGGUUACUGGGCAGUUACUGACGCUGAGGAGCGAAAGCAUGGGUAGCGAACAGGAUUA
Molecule: ribosomal RNA, 721 nt
Filed under: uncultured Actinomycetales bacterium
Lineage: Bacteria; Bacillati; Actinomycetota; Actinomycetes; Actinomycetales
Description: bacterial SSU rRNA
Rfam family: Bacterial small subunit ribosomal RNA
Source: RNAcentral